UGGGUUGUGGCUCAGUGGUAGAGCACUUGCCUCCCAUUCAUGAGGCACUGGGUUUGAUUUUCAGUAUCACAU
Non-coding RNA from Ictidomys tridecemlineatus (thirteen-lined ground squirrel), 72 nucleotides. The record is from Rfam. Lineage: Eukaryota; Metazoa; Chordata; Mammalia; Rodentia; Sciuridae.